GUGGGGAAUCUUGCGCAAUGGGCGAAAGCCUGACGCAGCCAUGCCGCGUGAAUGAUGAAGGUCUUAGGAUUGUAAAAUUCUUUCACCGGGGACGAUAAUGACGGUACCCGGAGAAGAAGCCCCGGCUAACUUCGUGCCAGCAGCCGGGGUAAUACGAAGGGGGCUAGCGUUGCUCGGAUUUACUGGGCGAAAAGGGAGCGUAGGCGGAUAGUUUAGUCAGAGGUGAAAGCCCAGGGCUCAACCUUGGAAUUGCCUUUGAUACUGGCUAUCUUGAGUAUGGAAGAGGUAUGUGGAACUCCGAGUGUAGAGGUGAAAUUCGUAGAUAUUCGGAAGAACACCAGUGGCGAAGGCGACAUACUGGUCCAUUACUGACGCUGAGGCUCGAAAGCGUGGGGAGCAAACAGGAUUAGAAACCCGGGUAGUCC
Molecule: ribosomal RNA, 425 nt
Filed under: uncultured bacterium
Lineage: Bacteria
Description: partial 16S ribosomal RNA
Rfam family: Bacterial small subunit ribosomal RNA
Source: RNAcentral